This 2607-nucleotide long non-coding RNA is filed under the name Homo sapiens (human). RNAcentral's name for it is "HSALNT0387446". The record is from RNAcentral. Lineage: Eukaryota; Metazoa; Chordata; Mammalia; Primates; Hominidae.
CCUGGCCUCAAGGGAUCCACCCACCUCGAAUUCCCAAAGUGCUGGGAUCACAGGUGUGAGCCACCGCGGACGACCUAUAAAAACUUUUAUCCCUUUCAUUUUCUCAUAGACUCCCGUUUAAGUUCUUGCUCUGUUUUGGGGGAAAGUGUUUAUUGUUUGAUUUUCUAAUAACGAAAACAUUAGAGUAGCUUCAUUUAUGCUGCCUGUUUCAAGCCAAUACACUGCUCAGUUGUGUUUGUGUAUUUGAAAAGUCCCCUGAUAGGAACUUUCUGAGGGGUGCCUGUGUUGUUGGCACAUUUGAGAACUAGACAAAAUCUAACUCUGUGUCUUUUUUCUUUCUUUUUCCCCUAUUAUUUGGUUUUGUUUUUUUAACAACCCCUCUGGAGUGUGUUUUGGUUCAUGGGAUCAGGCCACGUGCCCUGGUUUUCGAGGUAUAGCCUUGGCUUUCUUGGGUCGGGUCUAAUAACCCUGACCUUGGACUUCCCACGUGUCCUUCAAAGAAAGCAAUUAUUUUUGCCUAUUUUCUGAGUAUGAUGGUAUUCUCCAUUUGAUUUAACAAAAAAAUUCUUCCUCUGCUUUAAAAGACUGAAAGCCUCCCUGUAAGGUGCUGAUUGCCUUCCAGAUCUGAGGACCCCGUCUCUGCCUCAUUCCUCCUGUUUCCAUCAGAAGACACAGGUCUGGGACUCAGCGCAGCUGACCUGUCUGUCCCUCUCUGCACAGUUUACUCCUGGGCUCUGCAGAGAGAAGUCAGUGCCUCAAUUUUCCAUUGAAAUAUGCACCCUUGGCAUCCUGGCAGGAGUGGCAGCCACAGCAAAACAUCUUCUGCAGCGUCUGGCCAGGGCGUUACUCCAGCCCAGUUUUGCCCUGGACUAGAUUGAGUCAGGUCGUGCAUGGAACGCAAGCACAAACCACGGUCAGCUCCUCGAGACUGACCCACUGGCCCACUGAGCAGAGGAGCCCCUGGGUCUCUGGACGCUGCCCAGUUGUUGACAUCCUGAGGCAGGUUUGCGGCUGAUGGAGCAACAGGGACGGGCUGGGCCCGGCACCUUUUUCACGGAAAUGAUGAGCUCUGGACAGCAGUGAUGCCAGGGCCCAUAAAGCCUCAGGCGCCCGUCAUUGCUGCUGCCUGCGUGUGCUCGCUCACCGCGACGGCGGCGGGCUGGAGGAAGCUGUGCAAGAGCCAAGUGUCUACCAUGAGUCUGCAUGUUCAUAUGGUUCAGAUUUGCCUUGGAAUCCCCGCGAGCCAAACUCUUUCAUUUCACUUAGUAAAAGGGAUGCAUUGACUCAGAUGUUCUGUCCUAUUUAAAUGAGAGGGGCGCGGGAGGUGAUGGAACACAAAACCAUGAGCCAUGGCUUUGCUGGGGAAUGCUGUGGAUCUGGUGUGUGAUAGAGAGAGAGUGUGUGUGCGUGUGUGUGUGUGUAUGGCAAAGUGCACAAAUCGCACGUGUACACCUCAGUGGCUUUUUACACAUUUAGACGUGUGUAAGUGUAUAGAGCAUUUCCACACCCCAGAGGCCCCGAGCUCACUCCCUCCCGCUCUCCCCAUCCCUGACGCUAACCUGAUGCCUGUUGUCGUACAUCAGCUUCUCAACCUCGGCACUAUUGAUUGCCAUUUGGGGCCAAUAAUUCUAGGGGGUGGUGGCUGUGGUGGGCACUGUAGGAUGUUUCCUGUGUCCCUGGCCCUGACCUACUAGAUACUAGAUGCACCCACCCUCUCCAUCGUGACAACCAAACGUCUCCAGACAUUGCUAAAUACACCCUGGGGACACAGUCACCCUGGCUGAGAACCAGAGCGUGGGUCACUGUGACUUCCGCGCUUCCUCUCCAUGGCAUCGCACGGUGCCAUGUGUCCUGCCCUCCGUGUUCUUCUCUCUACGCUGCUUCUCUGAAAUCCCUCCAGCGGUGGCGGGUGCCAGGAGUUAGUUUUGCUUUCUCACUUUGGAGUAAUGUUGCAUUUUAUGGAUGUGCCACGAUGUGCUUGUCUGUUCCACUGCGGAUGGCAUCUCUUGUUGCAGUUGGGGCUGUUAAGAGUGUUCUCAGUGUGCCUUGUGGAGGGCUUGUGUCCUUUCUCUUGGGUGCAUCCUCCUGAGUAGGACUGCAGGGUCCCAGGCAGGCGCCUAUUAGCAGGAGUGGCCACCAUUGCACAGUGCUCCCAAUUCCAUUCCCACAGGCCACCUGAGAGUCAGGGAGCUUCUGUCACAAUUUUAAGUGCUGCAGGAUUAAUGCAAACUUUCUGAUGUGCUUCAAGUUGCUUUGUGUUGAAAUGGACUAGAGGGGAUUUAAGCUCACAGACAUAUAUCCAGAGCAUGCCCACUUUGAUAAUGCUAUCUUCACUAAUAAAUUAUUCUCAAAACAGCAGGUACUUGCAGUUCUGAACUAGAUAAAGCCCUUUCCUUUCCAUCUACUCACUGAGUCAUCAGGUGCCUGGCUGACAGCUGACGCUAAGUCUUCACAAUUAACCAAGUCUCUGGGCGCCCCUCAGGCUUUAACAUGAGGACACAUGGCAGAUUAAUCACGAAGCCCCACCUCUCAUUUCAGCUGCCAUGAAUGGCAAUUCCCAAAAUGCAGGGGGAGAAAAAGACUGGAAGGAAAUGUCGUGGUCUAAAA